RNAcentral lists this transfer-messenger RNA (399 nucleotides) under Bacteroidetes bacterium HGW-Bacteroidetes-23. It matches the Rfam family "transfer-messenger RNA". Rfam says of the family: Bacterial tmRNA, also known as 10Sa RNA or SsrA, is named for its dual tRNA and mRNA-like properties. Its role is to liberate the mRNA from a stalled ribosome. To accomplish this part of the tmRNA is used as a reading frame that ends in a translation stop signal. The record is from RNAcentral. Lineage: Bacteria; Pseudomonadati; Bacteroidota.
GGGGUCGACCGGUUUUGACAGCGGGUGGAACUAAACGGUAAGCACGUCGAGCAUUGGACAUUUGGCUCGUAAAUAUCAAGGUUCACAACUUAUAAACGGCGAAAAUAAUUACGCUUUAGCUGCUUAAUCUGAAUUAUAGUAAGAUUUGCCUCGUUCCUACUAGGUAGGAAAGCUGGAUUCUCCUCAAAAGCCUUGGUUUGUGGCGUUUGAUCAAGGAGAACUGUAAAAAUAAACCUAGGAAGGGUAAAGCUUUAAAUCCCUUCUGACAACUAUAAAGCUAAGCAAGAAGUGGCUGCCUUUGGCCUUGCUUUUUGUCGAAAACCCAAUCAGAGGAUAAACGCGUAGAAAGCUCUUUGGUUGCUUGUUUGGACGAGAGUUCGAUUCUCUCCGACUCCACAU